UAGCCUGAGGCUCAGAAACCAUUGGGCGUCACAAAAUAGAUUGCCCAUUAACAGAUGAUAUUUGGAAACACAAGCAGUGCUUAUCUAUUGGAUCAGCCACGGGUAACCUCCAGAGGUAAAGAAAGGACAUGUGGGAAUCUACACCAUCUCACUUACGCUGAGAACUAUGCAAGCUGUGCCUCUUGUCCCCUCGUAUCACGUGGUUACAUCUUGAACUAGGAAAAGUGUGAGAAAGAAAGAUCAGCCGACAUGAAGCAGAAGAAAUUCUCCUGGUGUUGAUAAGGACACCUCAGGCAGAGAUAAACAGAUGAAUGAGACGUUCCAUUGCCCAAAGAAUUAAAAUAGCUAGUUGCAUGUGGAAAUCCUUUGGGCCUCUCAGCGUGACACUACCACCCAACCCACACCCUCCUUUUUGCGUAACACGUGUAGGGCCUGGAUCAGUGCCCAAAGAGCCUAAACAACAAGUCAUUUGAGAAACCCUCUCUACCUGGCAGCUCCCUCAGCUUUACCUAGCAUUUAGCGUACCCUACAUUUCCCUUCUGGACGCCUUUCUCCCUGUUUGAAUUAUCCUUGAAAUGUUGAGUCCCAUGUCCUUGUUUGGGGAAGCUGAAGUGAUGGAUGGGUGGUAGGUUUUGGUUCUAGGUGCAGUCAAGUUGUGCUCAAUUUAUGGCUGUCUUAAUUGGGUUUUCAAGGUCAGUGAGAUCUUUAAGGAAUGGCAUCACCGUGGCCACCCAUCUCCCAAUGGGUUUCCGCAGCCAAUGGGGAUCUGAACACGGAUCUCGAGUCCUAGUCUAUCUAUCCCCUACACCUCACUAGCCAUUGGGGUGAGAAUGUAUCCAAGAUUAUUUGGAUUGGUUCUGCAAGGAAAGCACACAUUGGCUUUAUACCAGUUUUAGGCCUAGUGUGUCAUUCUGUCCGCCACAACACCUGGGAUAUCCAGUAUUCAAGAGUACACAUGCCAGUAUAAUGCCCAGCUUUUGAUAGCUGAUAUGCAAUAUGAGUCACUUCCAAAUGCUGAAUUCAGUAUUCAAAUUUGGAUUUCGAACGUUCAAUGGCAUCUUCGACUACCAAAUGCAAAUUUCAAAACACAAAUUGUAGUGUCGAAAUCGAGGGUGGAGGUAGUUGUGUUGAAAGGUGGGACAUGACAAAAAUGCCAGGCUUACAGGGCAGUCCCCAUACUUAUUUACUCUGAAGACCGACCCACUGUGUUCAGUGAGCU
This 1219-nucleotide long non-coding RNA is filed under the name Pogona vitticeps (central bearded dragon). RNAcentral's name for it is "lncRNA (ENSPVIG00000016417.1)". The record is from RNAcentral. Lineage: Eukaryota; Metazoa; Chordata; Lepidosauria; Squamata; Agamidae.